Molecule: long non-coding RNA, 695 nt
Organism: Rhopalosiphum padi (bird cherry-oat aphid)
Lineage: Eukaryota; Metazoa; Arthropoda; Insecta; Hemiptera; Aphididae
Exons: 5
Source: RefSeq, a predicted model, not a curated record
UGAUCACCGAACGUGGGUGGCACAAACUGCGCAGUUAAAUCUCUCCACCGAUGUCACUAGUCACCACUCGGUUUUCUCAAAAAAUUUGUAGCGUCCCUUGCGUUCAUUGUGCGUUGUUUAUCAUUUAUUUGUUGUCAAACAGUUUUUUCCACCAUUUAAAUAUUUUGUUUUCUCAACUUUCUACGACAUUAUCUAUGACAUUUCUAAUGAGCUCGUUACAAUAGAUAGUAGGUGGGUAUAGGACUCUAUCAUCCAUUGUCAUUUGUCGUUGUUUCAUGACAUUUUAAGAGCGUCGAACCAAGCAGGCUAUCCUUUUUAUCUUAGCAUUUGAAACACAAACUAAAGAACACCUAACAACUUUAUGUGAAUACCGUUUUGGCCAGAUUUCAAGCCAGUUGAACUGGAGCAAUAAGAUCAAAUUAAAUCAAGUUUGUCAUUUUACAAAAGUCGAGGUUUACAACAGGUGCUACAUACCAACCCUAAGCUUUACAUUAUCAGAGUAAUAUUCUUCAUAAUAUAGUAGUUUAAGUAGAAGAGCCAACGAAUCACUUAUGACUGGGUGUGUAGUCACUAAAUUUUGAAGGAAAAACAGAUAAUCUGAGUUCAAACUGUUUUUGUGAUACUGGGCUAAACCGUCAUUAAGAUGAUCAUUUGAACAAAGAAAAAGAUACAAUAGCUAAAAUGGAGAUGGAUAG